AUACGGAGGGUGCAAGCGUUAAUCGGAAUUACUGGGCGUAAAGCGCACGUAGGCUGUUGUGUAAGUCAGGGGUGAAAUCCCACGGCUCAACCGUGGAACUGCCUUUGAUACUGCACGACUUGAAUCCGGGAGAGGGUGGCGGAAUUCCAGGUGUAGGAGUGAAAUCCGUAGAUAUCUGGAGGAACACCAGUGGCGAAGGCGGCCACCUGGACCGGUAUUGACGCUGGGGUGCGAAAGCGUGGGGAGCAAACAGGAUUAGAUGCCCUGGGAGUCCACGCCGUAAACGAUGGAUGCUAGAUGUCGGGGGGUUGCCCUCGGUGUCGUAGUUAACGCGUUAAGCAUCCCGCCUGGGGAGUACGGUCGCAAGGCUGAAACUCAAAUGAAUUGACGGGG
This 393-nucleotide ribosomal RNA is filed under the name uncultured bacterium. RNAcentral's name for it is "partial 16S ribosomal RNA". It matches the Rfam family "Bacterial small subunit ribosomal RNA", at positions 523 to 918 of the family's 1533-position model. The record is from RNAcentral.